RNAcentral lists this ribosomal RNA (457 nucleotides) under uncultured bacterium. RNAcentral describes it as "SSU rRNA". It matches the Rfam family "Bacterial small subunit ribosomal RNA", at positions 26 to 518 of the family's 1533-position model. The record is from RNAcentral.
AGAAUCAACGCUGGCGGCGUGCCUAACACAUGCAAGUCGAACGAGAAAGUGGAGCAAUCCAUGAGUAAAGUGGCGCACGGGUGAGUAACACGUGACUAACCUACCCUUGAGUGGGGGAUAACCUAGAGAAAUCUGGGCUAAUACCGCAUAAUACCUUCGGGUCAAAGGAGCAAUUCGCUUAAGGAGGGGGUCGCGGCCGAUUAGUUAGUUGGCGGGGUAAUGGCCCACCAAGACUGUGAUCGGUAUCCGGCCUGAGAGGGCGCACGGACACACUGGAACUGAAACACGGUCCAGACUCCUACGGGAGGCAGCAGUGGGAAUUUGCGCAAUGGGGGAAACCCUGACGCAGCAACGCCGCGUGGAGGAUGAAGCCCCUUGGGGCGUAAACUCCUUUCGAUCGGGAAGAUAAUGACGGUACCGAGAGAAGAAGCCCCGGCUAACUCGUGCCAGCAGCCGC